This 115-nucleotide ribosomal RNA is filed under the name Gracilibacteraceae bacterium. RNAcentral's name for it is "partial 23S ribosomal RNA". It matches the Rfam family "Bacterial large subunit ribosomal RNA", at positions 2811 to 2925 of the family's 2925-position model. The record is from RNAcentral. Lineage: Bacteria; Bacillati; Bacillota; Clostridia; Eubacteriales; Gracilibacteraceae.
UUCCCACAGAAUAAUCUGGUAAGGCCCCUGGAAGAUGACCAGGUUGAUAGGCCGGGAGUGGAAGUGUGGCGACAUAUGAAGCGGACCGGUACUAAUAGGCCGAGGUCUUGACCUA